GACGAACGCUGGCGGCGUGCUUAACACAUGCAAGUCGAACGGAAAGGCCCUGCUUUUGUGGGGUGCUCGAGUGGCGAACGGGUGAGUAACACGUGAGUAACCUGCCCUUGACUUUGGGAUAACUUCAGGAAACUGGGGCUAAUACCGGAUAGGAGCUCCUGCUGCAUGGUGGGGGUUGGAAAGUUUCGGCGGUUGGGGAUGGACUCGCGGCUUAUCAGCUUGUUGGUGGGGUAGUGGCUUACCAAGGCUUUGACGGGUAUCCGGCCUGAGAGGGUGACCGGCUACAUUGGGACAGAGAUACGGCUCAGACUGCUACGGGAGGCAGCAGUGGGGAAUAGUGCACAAGGGGCGGAAGCCUGAUGCAGCAACGACGCGUGAGGGAUGACGGCAUUCGGGUUGUAAACCGCUUUCGCCUGUGACGAAGCGUGAGUGACGGUAAUGGGUAAAGAAGCACCGGCUAACUACG
RNAcentral lists this ribosomal RNA (466 nucleotides) under uncultured bacterium. RNAcentral describes it as "partial 16S ribosomal RNA". It matches the Rfam family "Bacterial small subunit ribosomal RNA", at positions 28 to 505 of the family's 1533-position model. The record is from RNAcentral.